RNAcentral lists this transfer RNA (66 nucleotides) under Ophiura sarsii. RNAcentral's name for it is "tRNA-Trp". The record is from RNAcentral. Lineage: Eukaryota; Metazoa; Echinodermata; Ophiuroidea; Amphilepidida; Ophiuridae.
UAGAGUUUAGGUUAAAGAAACCAGUUGCCUUCAAAGCUACCAAUAAGUAAAAGUACUUAACUCUAG